RNAcentral lists this ribosomal RNA (1086 nucleotides) under Levilactobacillus brevis. Its description in RNAcentral is "bacterial SSU rRNA". It matches the Rfam family "Bacterial small subunit ribosomal RNA", at positions 61 to 1111 of the family's 1533-position model. Lineage: Bacteria; Bacillati; Bacillota; Bacilli; Lactobacillales; Lactobacillaceae. The record is from RNAcentral.
GUCGAACGAGCUUCCGUUGAAUGACGUGCUUGCACUGAUUUCAACAAUGAAGCGAGUGGCGAACUGGUGAGUAACACGUGGGAAAUCUGCCCAGAAGCAGGGGAUAACACUUGGAAACAGGUGCUAAUACCGUAUAACAACAAAAUCCGCAUGGAUUUUGUUUGAAAGGUGGCUUCGGCUAUCACUUCUGGAUGAUCCCGCGGCGUAUUAGUUAGUUGGUGAGGUAAAGGCCCACCAAGACGAUGAUACGUAGCCGACCUGAGAGGGUAAUCGGCCACAUUGGGACUGAGACACGGCCCAAACUCCUACGGGAGGCAGCAGUAGGGAAUCUUCCACAAUGGACGAAAGUCUGAUGGAGCAAUGCCGCGUGAGUGAAGAAGGGUUUCGGCUCGUAAAACUCUGUUGUUAAAGAAGAACACCUUUGAGAGUAACUGUUCAAGGGUUGACGGUAUUUAACCAGAAAGCCACGGCUAACUACGUGCCAGCAGCCGCGGUAAUACGUAGGUGGCAAGCGUUGUCCGGAUUUAUUGGGCGUAAAGCGAGCGCAGGCGGUUUUUUAAGUCUGAUGUGAAAGCCUUCGGCUUAACCGGAGAAGUGCAUCGGAAACUGGGAGACUUGAGUGCAGAAGAGGACAGUGGAACUCCAUGUGUAGCGGUGGAAUGCGUAGAUAUAUGGAAGAACACCAGUGGCGAAGGCGGCUGUCUAGUCUGUAACUGACGCUGAGGCUCGAAAGCAUGGGUAGCGAACAGGAUUAGAUACCCUGGUAGUCCAUGCCGUAAACGAUGAGUGCUAAGUGUUGGAGGGUUUCCGCCCUUCAGUGCUGCAGCUAACGCAUUAAGCACUCCGCCUGGGGAGUACGACCGCAAGGUUGAAACUCAAAGGAAUUGACGGGGGCCCGCACAAGCGGUGGAGCAUGUGGUUUAAUUCGAAGCUACGCGAAGAACCUUACCAGGUCUUGACAUCUUCUGCCAAUCUUAGAGAUAAGACGUUCCCUUCGGGGACAGAAUGACAGGUGGUGCAUGGUUGUCGUCAGCUCGUGUCGUGAGAUGUUGGGUUAAGUCCCGCAACGAGCGCAACCCUUAUUAU